RNAcentral lists this long non-coding RNA (1968 nucleotides) under Linum usitatissimum (flax). RNAcentral's name for it is "long non-coding RNA (LUSI_LNC006474)". Lineage: Eukaryota; Viridiplantae; Streptophyta; Magnoliopsida; Malpighiales; Linaceae. The record is from RNAcentral.
AUUAUUAUUCUCCAUAUAAUUAGCAUCAAUAUUUUCUCUCCCAAACAAAAGAAAAACACUUCCCUCUUCGUUUGGGGUUUUGUAAAGCAAUCGGCGACCGGAACUUUGAAGCUGUUGCCAGACCUCUCUUCUUUAAUUAAGGUCGUUGCCGAUCGUUUUCCGUCAUUAGGAACAAGUAGAGGGACGCCGUCAGUUUUUCAUUGAAGUUCAUCGUUGACUCGCCACAGACUCGCCAACCGGCCAUUCUAUCACAAUAGCAGUCGCUGUCGAAGAGGCCGCCCAAACCUGCUCUCUUCCCCGACGGACACAUCGUUUCGGAAAAGACCGCCAUCGAUGGAGGAUACAACUCGAUCUCGCCGUAGCACCGACCCUGAUUAUGUGGUCGGAAACAACAUACACAAUUCUGAUUCAAGAUCAUAGGUUAGUUUGGUUCCUAACCACAGUUUCCUAUGGUUUCGAAUUUGUUUUUGCUGAGUUGUUACUAAUCCCGAUUUUGUCAAGAGUUGGAUCGAAAUGAUAAGGUUAUUUUAUGAUUCCUCUAUUCUUCUUCAAUAUUGUUAUAGAAUUACGUUUUUAUUUAACAAAUCUUUUAACAUUUCUGAAGCGAUUUUUGCCAUUAGUUAUGGUAUCUGAUUUUGUUUCAAGUUUAGUUUCUGAUUCUGUUUCAAAAGAAAUUCUAAUUUUCGAUUCUGUUUCAGUUUCUUCUGUUUACCUAUGUUAAGAUUGGUGCAAAUUGAUCAUAAAUCUAGUUUUGGUACAUUACGAGCCUAUUAGUUGGGUUUCGGUGCAGAUUGAUCGUUUUCAUAUUUGAUUUGUGCAUGUUGUACCUAAUUUUGAACUUGAUACAUUCAGUUAUGUAUAGUAAUGGAUUCAACGAACUAAGGUUGAUUUUAGUUCGGUUUCAAUUAUAUUUUGACGAACUUCGAUGAUUACGUCUCGGCCUUGACUCUUGUGUUCAAGUCUAUCCAUCAUGCCAGAGUUCUCAUCAUGUUGAAUCAUAUCUGGUAAAUUUAACUACUCAACUAUUUAAUUGUGCUCUUUUCAGUAUAUAUAUGUUGUUCUAUGUCUAGAGUGAGUCAAUAUCUCUAUUAAUAACAUAAUUCAUAUGAUUAUCGUAUAACAUUUGUGAUAUUUGAAACUUUUAAAUUUAUUCUUCCACUGGUUUAUUGUUCCACGAACGAUGCUCUUUAAACUAACUUCUUAAUUGGUGAAGUUCGAUCAUUAAUCAUACUAUUUGCUGAUUUUAAAGUUUGCUUCAGUCAUAAUCUGUUAUUGUUCUAACCAUAUCAUGUCUACGUUAUAUAGUAGAAAACGUCUCAAAAAGCAAAAGGAAUUAGUGAACUGAAGUUAUUAUGUUUCAUUUUUGUGUUUAAAUAUCGAACUGAAGUUUUAGGCAUAUUUUUUUGUUUCAUAAAAGGCAUUCUUCUCUGUUUAUGGGGGAAGUUUAACCAGUUUUAUAUUUUGUUUGGAUCUAGUCAAUAAAAAGAAUUCAUCCUAAACAGUAUGUCUUGUCCCAAUGAUUUUGAAAUUCAAAAUUACUAUAAAUCGAAUGGAACACAACUGAUGUUGUACGAAAGAUAAGUUUUUCUACAAGUUGUUGAAUUAAACAUAGGUGAAUUCCCGUGACAUGUCCCUUUGUACCUCAUUGACUGGAUACUAACAAUUAUAGGUUGUAUGUAGUAAGGUACAUAAACCAUUAUCAUGGGCGGUGUACAACAUACCAGAACCAACAAUGGAGUACUUUUGCCGUUCUUCACAAUGAUAGACUGAAGUAUCUAUUUCGUGUGGUACUUUCUGAUGUAAACAAAACUUGUGGACAAGUUUUGGCGAAAGCUGUCCAAUUCUGCGAGGAGAUGAAAUUGCAAAGAAAGCUCGUAAAGUAAAGAACUUUUUAGCUACUACGCCGCUCUUCUAAGGUUCUUUAACUGUGUUUUACCAGCAUAAUGUCAGAGCCAGUCUCAUCAUNNN